GUUUCAGCAGCCGCGGUAAUACAGAGGUGGCAAGCGUUGUUCGGAAUUACUGGGCGUAAAGGGCGCGUAGGCGGCCAUCUAAGUCAGACGUGAAAUCCCCCGGCUCAACCUGGGAACUGCGUCUGAUACUGGAAGGCUAGAGUUUGGGAGAGGGAUGUAGAAUUCCAGGUGUAGCGGUGAAAUGCGUAGAUAUCUGGAGGAAUACCGGUGGCGAAGGCGGCAUCCUGGACCAAUACUGACGCUGAGGCGCGAAAGCUAGGGGAGCAAACGGGAUUAGAAACCCGUGUAGUCC
This 292-nucleotide ribosomal RNA is filed under the name uncultured bacterium. Its description in RNAcentral is "partial 16S ribosomal RNA". It matches the Rfam family "Bacterial small subunit ribosomal RNA", at positions 505 to 796 of the family's 1533-position model. The record is from RNAcentral.